GAUGAAGAACGCAGCGAAUUGCGAUAAGUAAUGUGAAUUGCAGAAUUCAGUGAAUCAUCGAAUCUUUGAACGCACAUUGCGCCCGCCAGUAUUCUGGCGGGCAUGCCUGUUCGAGCGUCAUUUCAACCCUCAAGCCCCCGGGCUUGGUGUUGGGGAUCGGCGUGCCCUCGCGGCGCGCCGUCCCCUAAAUCUAGUGGCGGUCUCGCUGUAGCUUCCUCUGCGUAGUAGCAACACUCGCACUGGAUCGCAGCGCGGCCACGCCGUUAAACCCCCCACUUCUGAAAGUUUGACCUCGGAUCAGGUAGGAAUACCCGCUGAACUUAAGCAUAUCAAUAAGCGGAGGA
This 344-nucleotide unclassified non-coding RNA is filed under the name soil metagenome. RNAcentral describes it as "partial contains 5.8S ribosomal RNA, internal transcribed spacer 2, and large subunit ribosomal RNA". The stretch from base 1 to 120 matches the Rfam family "5.8S ribosomal RNA", at positions 35 to 154 of the family's 154-position model. The record is from RNAcentral.